RNAcentral lists this ribosomal RNA (430 nucleotides) under Agrobacterium tumefaciens. RNAcentral's name for it is "bacterial SSU rRNA". It matches the Rfam family "Bacterial small subunit ribosomal RNA", at positions 8 to 466 of the family's 1533-position model. Lineage: Bacteria; Pseudomonadati; Pseudomonadota; Alphaproteobacteria; Hyphomicrobiales; Rhizobiaceae. The record is from RNAcentral.
AGAGUUUGAUCCUGGCUCAGAACGAACGCUGGCGGCAGGCUUAACACAUGCAAGUCGAACGCCCCGCAAGGGGAGUGGCAGACGGGUGAGUAACGCGUGGGAAUCUACCGUGCCCUGCGGAAUAGCUCCGGGAAACUGGAAUUAAUACCGCAUACGCCCUACGGGGGAAAGAUUUAUCGGGGUAUGAUGAGCCCGCGUUGGAUUAGCUAGUUGGUGGGGUAAAGGCCUACCAAGGCGACGAUCCAUAGCUGGUCUGAGAGGAUGAUCAGCCACAUUGGGACUGAGACACGGCCCAAACUCCUACGGGAGGCAGCAGUGGGGAAUAUUGGACAAUGGGCGCAAGCCUGAUCCAGCCAUGCCGCGUGAGUGAUGAAGGCCUUAGGGUUGUAAAGCUCUUUCACCGGAGAAGAUAAGGACGGAUCCGAGAAGA